CCUACGGGAGGCAGCAGUGGGGAAUAUUGCACAAUGGGGGAAACCCUGAUGCAGCGACGCCGCGUGAGUGAAGAAGUAUUUCGGUAUGUAAAGCUCUAUCAGCAGGGAAGAAAAUGACGGUACCUGAUUAAGAAGCCCCGGCUAACUACGUGCCAGCAGCCGCGGUAAUACGGAGGGGGCAAGCGUUAUCCGGAUUUACUGGGUGUAAAGGGAGCGUAUACGGCAGCACAAGUCUGGCGUGAAAUGCCGGGGCUUAACCCCGGAACCGCUUUGGAAACUGUGCAGCUAGAGUGCAGGAGAGGUAAGUGGAAUUCGUAGUGUAGCGGUGAAAUGCGUAGAUAUUAGGAGGAACACCAGUGGCGAAGGCGGCUUACUGGAGUGUAACUGACGUUGAGGCUCGAAAGCGUGGGGAGCGAACAGGAUUAGAUACCCGUGUAGUC
Molecule: ribosomal RNA, 440 nt
Filed under: uncultured bacterium
Lineage: Bacteria
Description: partial 16S ribosomal RNA
Rfam family: Bacterial small subunit ribosomal RNA
Source: RNAcentral